This 82-nucleotide transfer RNA is filed under the name Pseudomonadota bacterium. RNAcentral describes it as "tRNA-Leu". It matches the Rfam family "tRNA". Rfam says of the family: Transfer RNA (tRNA) molecules are approximately 80 nucleotides in length. Their secondary structure includes four short double-helical elements and three loops (D, anti-codon, and T loops). Lineage: Bacteria; Pseudomonadati; Pseudomonadota. The record is from RNAcentral. RNAcentral also lists the same sequence under 2 other names.
GCCCGAGUGGCGAAAUCGGUAAACGCAGAGGACUUAAAAUCCUUAGCCGCAAGGCGUGCGGGUUCAAAUCCCGCCUCGGGCA